UACAUAGCUUAAUGAGGGGAACUCAGGGAACUGAAACAUCUAAGUACCUGAAGGAAGAGAAAGAAAUUCGAUUCCGUAAGUAGCGGCGAGCGAACGCGGAUUAGCCCAAACCAAUAAAGUUUUCUUUAUUGGGGUUGCGGACAUAUCAUAACGAAGAGGUAUCGUAAUUGAAGAGGUUUGGAAAGACCCACCACAGAAGGUAAUAGUCCUGUAUGUUAAACGAGAAGACUUUAGAUAUGAUCCAGAGUACCACGGGACACGUGAAACCCUGUGGGAAGCAGGAGGGACCACCCUCCAAGGCUAAAUACUACCUAGUGACCGAUAGCGUAUAGUACCGUGAGGGAAAGGUGAAAAGAACCCCGGGAGGGGAGUGAAAUAGAACCUGAAACCCUGCACUUACAAGCUGUGGAAGCACAUUUCUUGUGUGACCGCGUACUUUUUGUAGAACGGGCCAACGAGUUACGUUAAGUAGCAAGGUUAAGCACUUAAGGUGCGGAGCCGUAGCGAAAGCGAGUUUUAACUGAGCGUUCAGUUACUUGACGUAGACCCGAAACCGGGCGACCUACCCAUGAGCAGGAUGAAGCGAAAGUAAAAGUUCGUGGAGGUCCGAACCCACGAGCGUUGAAAAGCUCGGGGAUGACGUGUGGGUAGCGGUGAAAUUCCAAUCGAGCCCGGAGAUAGCUGGUUCUCCCCGAAAUAGCUUUAGGGCUAGCCUCAAGGUGAGAGAUACGGAGGUAGAGCACUGAAUGUCCUAGGGGGUAUUGCACCUACCGAAGACUAUCAAACUCCGAAU
This 793-nucleotide ribosomal RNA is filed under the name Clostridioides difficile. Its description in RNAcentral is "bacterial LSU rRNA". It matches the Rfam family "Bacterial large subunit ribosomal RNA", at positions 163 to 961 of the family's 2925-position model. The record is from RNAcentral. Lineage: Bacteria; Bacillati; Bacillota; Clostridia; Peptostreptococcales; Peptostreptococcaceae.